UACGGAGGGUGCAAGCGUUGCUCGGAAUCAUUGGGCGUAAAGCGCACGUAGGCGGCCUGAUAAGUCGGGUGUGAAAGCCCUGGGCUCAACCCAGGAAGUGCACUCGAAACUGUCAGGCUUGAAUAUGGAAGAGGGUCGCGGAAUUCCCGGUGUAGAGGUGAAAUUCGUAGAUAUCGGGAGGAACACCAGUGGCGAAGGCGGCGACCUGGGCCAAUAUUGACGCUGAGGUGCGAAAGCGUGGGGAGCAAACAGG
RNAcentral lists this ribosomal RNA (253 nucleotides) under uncultured bacterium. Its description in RNAcentral is "partial 16S ribosomal RNA". It matches the Rfam family "Bacterial small subunit ribosomal RNA", at positions 524 to 776 of the family's 1533-position model. The record is from RNAcentral.